GUAGGUGAACCUGCGGAGGGAUCAUUACCGAGUGAGGGGCGUAACCCGCCCCGACCUCUCAACCCCAUGUUGCCCGACACUGUUGCCUCGGGGGCGACCCGGCCCUCUGGGCGCUGGGGCCCCCGGUGGACCGUCAAACGCUUGCAUCUGUGCGUCCGAGUCAGAUGAUGAAUCAAUCAAAACUUUCAACAACGGAUCUCUUGGUUCUG
This 209-nucleotide unclassified non-coding RNA is filed under the name rhizosphere metagenome. RNAcentral's name for it is "partial ribosomal RNA internal transcribed spacer region". The record is from RNAcentral.